UAAGUGACAUGUGUCUAGGACAUGUUAAA
This 29-nucleotide non-coding RNA is filed under the name Mus musculus (house mouse). Lineage: Eukaryota; Metazoa; Chordata; Mammalia; Rodentia; Muridae. The record is from RNAcentral.